CAAACACAUGCAAGUCGAACGAGAGAGAGGAAGCUUGCUUCCUCAAUCGAGUGGCGAACGGGUGAGUAACGCGUGAGGAACCUGCCUCAAAGAGGGGGACAACAGUUGGAAACGACUGCUAAUACCGCAUAAGCCCACGGGUCGGCAUCGACCAGAGGGAAAAGGAGCAAUCCGCUUUGAGAUGGCCUCGCGUCCGAUUAGCUAGUUGGUGAGGUAAUGGCCCACCAAGGCGACGAUCGGUAGCCGGACUGAGAGGUUGAACGGCCACAUUGGGACUGAGACACGGCCCAGACUCCUACGGGAGGCAGCAGUGGGGAAUAUUGCACAAUGGGGGAAACCCUGAUGCAGCGACGCCGCGUGGAGGAAGAAGGUCUUCGGAUUGUAAACUCCUGUUGUUGAGGAAGAUAAUGACGGUACUCAACAAGGAAGUGACGGCUAACUACGUGCCAGCAGCCGCGGUAAAACGUAGGUCACAAGCGUUGUCCGGAAUUACUGGGUGUAAAGGGAGCGCAGGCGGGAAGACAAGUUGGAAGUGAAAUCUAUGGGCUCAACCCAUAAACUGCUUUCAAAACUGUUUUUCUUGAGUAGUGCAGAGGUAGGCGGAAUUCCCGGUGUAGCGGUGGAAUGCGUAGAUAUCGGGAGGAACACCAGUGGCGAAGGCGGCCUACUGGGCACCAACUGACGCUGAGGCUCGAAAGUGUGGGUAGCAAACAGGAUUAGAUACCCUGGUAGUCCACACCGUAAACGAGACUUAAUAGGAGUGGAGGUUGACCCCUUCAGUGCCGCAGUAAACACCAUAAGUAAUCCCACCUGGGGAGUCGGCCCGCAAGGUUGAAACUCAAAGGAAUUGACGGGGGCCCGCACAAGCAGUGGAGUAUGUGGUUUAAUUAGACGCAACCCGAAGAACCUUACCAAGUCUUGACAUCCUGCGACGCACAUAGAAAUAUGUGUUUCCUUCGGGACGCAGAGACAGGUGGUGCAUGGUUGUCGUCAGCUCGUGUCGUGAGAUGUUGGGUUAAGUCCCGCAACGAGCGCAACCCUUACUGUCAGUUACUACGCAAGAGGACUCUGGCAGGACUGCCGUUGACAAAACGGAGGAAGGUGGGGAUGACGUCAAAUCAUCAUGCCCCUUAUGACUUGGGCUACACACGUACUACAAUGGCGUUAAACAAAGAGAAGCAAGACCGCGAGGUGGAGCAAAACUCAGAAACAACGUCCCAGUUCGGACUGCAGGCUGCAACUCGCCUGCACGAAGUCGGAAUUGCUAGUAAUCGUGGAUCAGCAUGCCACGGUGAAUACGUUCCCGGGCCUUGCACA
RNAcentral lists this ribosomal RNA (1317 nucleotides) under uncultured bacterium. Its description in RNAcentral is "bacterial SSU rRNA". It matches the Rfam family "Bacterial small subunit ribosomal RNA", at positions 48 to 1387 of the family's 1533-position model. The record is from RNAcentral.